ACUUUACCGACCGGCCGUCGAUUAAUCGACGUUUUGUUCUCAGCGCAUACUGACCGGCCGUCGAUUAAUCGACGACCGGUCGGUAUGCGCUGAGAACAAAACAUCGAUUAAUCGACGGCCGGUCGGUAUGCGCUGAGAACAAAACGUCGAUUAAUCGACGGCCGGUCGGUAAAGUGUUA
This 179-nucleotide microRNA precursor is filed under the name Stegodyphus mimosarum. RNAcentral describes it as "microRNA mir-50". The record is from RNAcentral. Lineage: Eukaryota; Metazoa; Arthropoda; Arachnida; Araneae; Eresidae.